Molecule: long non-coding RNA, 3499 nt
Organism: Lolium rigidum
Lineage: Eukaryota; Viridiplantae; Streptophyta; Magnoliopsida; Poales; Poaceae
Exons: 3
Source: RefSeq, a predicted model, not a curated record
CCGCCCCCUACGUCCUGCUCUAUUGCGGCCUCCUUGCCGCCCCACCAGCCCCGCAUCCUGCGCUACCACCGCGAUCUUGCACUGUCUCCCCGUCCCCGAAUUCCGGCCCCCGAUACGCGGAGUGCUCAAGGCGAUUGGCCGGUCUGCUCGUUGGGCUGGAACUAGAGCACGAUGCCCCACCUCGUCACAUGUUUUGUUGCCUUGCCGACAUCCUAGAUGUCGCCCGCUUCAUCCUUGAUGAGCGGAGAGGUGAACUUGGCAUCAGCCGUAGGGCGGAACGCGGAUCCGAGCGGAAGGUGGGUCGACGGCGGAGGAGGGGUUGAAGAUCUUGAGAGAGCCCCGGGGGUUAUGCGGCAGCUGCUGCUUCGGCUGAUGAGGUUCGUCAUGGCCGCCGCCUACUGCAUCUGCACAAACCCGCUGCCGCCACGUAACCAGGUACAUCGACAGAAAUUAAAGAAGCGUUUUCCCCCAAAAUCGUUGAUCCAACAACUACAAAUCGAGCGGAAAUUAUUGGUCUACUGCGGAUUGUUCAUUCAGGAAUUGGUAUAUCACUGAACUGAAUUGAAUCCAGUAGCCAAAACGUACAACAGUGGAGUUCUAAUCAACAGAGACUACUUCCAAAUGACUGAGAAAAACGAGUUUUUUUUUUGAGUGAUCACCGGGGGGGGGAGCGAAAAGCUCCCGCCUGAAUUUUCCAUUUCAUCAGAGAUUUUGGUGGAGCCCCGUUUUUGUGGUGACAGCAGAUUUUACAGGGGGGAGGGAGACAGCACCCAACGCCACCAGUCAAGGGGGGAGUGAGCUCAAAACAAAAGCCAAAGAGUGAGAAAAACGAGUUGGUUUUCUUCAUCUGUCUCUGGCUGCAGUGGAUUGAAUUUAAAGCUACAGUUCUAUAAACUGAAAUUCGAUUAAUUUGUAGUGAAACUUAUGUUUAUAUUUGAUCAUAUGCUACUGUUUCCCGUCCUCUCGGCAUCAUUAUAAUUUUAUGUGGAGUAACUUUUAUGUUAUAUGGAUAAAUUGAUUAGUAGAAUUUAAUAUUGAUAGUGUCAUAUCAUGGAGAUGUCUUCUACAUAGAUUGUCGUUUCUUUCUUUCAUUCUUGAUUCCAUAACAUUUAUCAUUUAUCAUUCAUCUGUUAAGUGAUUGGCAUUGCAUGUCCACCAUUGGCAGUGGCAUAAGGGGAAGGCGGGAGCGGAAGUGUAGGUGGGUUGUGCUACGUGCAACAACAAGGUUUCCUUUUUGAAUAAGUUGAUGGUUGAUGAUACUGCUGGAUAUGGUGGUUGAUGAUCAUGCUAUCAAGAUGAAGCUUUGAAUUUGAGAUCAGAUUUAGAGUUUGGGAAAAUGAGACGAUUGGCAAUGACGGGGUCAUCAAGAUCAAGCCACCCACCGUCGAGGUUGUGGACGCUGCCGCAUUGUUCUAGGUUCGGUCUCUUCCUCCUGGAACCCCCCGAUGGAACGCCCAGAUCUGGCAUCUCGCUGCCACAAUUACGUCUGCAGGGAAAGACCAUGGAGGAAGAUUACUCAGAAGCACCAGCGCCACAACUUCCUAUGGACAUCAUGCACGUAUCUGAGCUAGCCCCCUUGCCUGCCUUGCUUCAUCUUGCAAGUUCUGGCACGAUCUCAUCGAGGACCCGAUCUUGAUAAAUGGUUAGUUCUAUAUAUAACCAUCAUGCGUGCGUGUUUACAUUUAUCUCUAUUGGGGACACUCUUUCUUUAAGCAGUACCAUCUCUGAGGUUAGCUCUCACUUAUAUUUGCACUGAGGAUGAUACUCAAAUAUCUUCCGAUUGGACAAGGCCUUGCUACUAGCUUAUGCACAAUAUUUAUUGUUAACCUUUGUUCUGUCAAUUCAUGUUGUGUUUAUCAUUUAUCUUGGUUCUUAUCCACUCUCGUGUAUGUACUUGUGCUUUCUUUUUAAGUAGUGGGGAUCUUCCUACUGAUUCCCUCUAAAAAAGGAGAAUUAGGCGAAAAAGGAAUCAUGGAUGAUAGUUGUGUUAAGAUAGCCCGGGAGAAGUUCUAUUAUAUUCUCUAGAUACCAGGUACAACCAUACAAGGGGUGUUUAAGAAACUAAGCUUCUCUUGCAUUUACUACAUGUAGACAUGAGCAUAAAAAAACUUAGUGUUAAAAAUUGAGAUUGCAUCAGCUGUUGCAUGAUGAUUCAUCUGUUAAUCGUCCAGGUGUACUGCCAAUAUUGGUGCAUGUGCUGCAUCUCAGGUAAUCAUGGUUUCAUUUUCAAGGUAUUGAAUAUUUGCUGACUUCUUGGUUUUCUUGCUCCUUUCUACGACGCCUGCAAUAUAAAAUUAACAUUAGUUGAAUCAAUGCUCAAAACUUAUAUGUUUAUUUGUAAGGAAUAUCUUGUGCACAUCAAGUUACGACAAGAUAAGAUUCUUUCGACUGUUCUCAUAACAUAAUUAUUCUUCCAAUAUUUUUUUGAUGCCAGUUGUUGCUGUUCUGAAAAUGCUAAAAAUGCUUGGCAGUUCCAAUGUUACUUAUGACAUUGUUUACCUUUUGAAAUCCUUAAAUUACAUAAGCCUUUUCGUGCAAUUUUCUCAUACCCCACCAAUUCAAUUCCAGUAUGACUUAGCCAUAGAGGACCAUCAAUUCUUUCUCUAGCUUCAUGCUCUGAGUUAUAUUUAUAAUGGUAUGCUACUUUCUUUUUCCAAUUCAAAUCUGAGUUAGUAUACUAUUUUCCAUUAUUGCGCUAUAAUCUUUCAUGAUUACCUAGGGUUAUUUAUUUUUGUAACACUCUAAAAACUAUUGAUGCUUUGUUGCGGUCCAGUAGGUGCAUACAUAAUUUGGAGUCGCGCUCACACAUAAAUUUCAAUGUAGUGCUAAGUGCUAACUCGAUAAUCAGGGCCACCAUAUUUAUUGAAAAUUGUCCUUUGUCCUCCAUGAGUUAUCUAUCUGUGUUAGCAAUUUUCCUUGGCUAUUGACUUCCAUCAGACAUGAAGCAUGUUUGGCUCUCCGGGUGUAAGAACUUUUAUAGUUUUAUGGGGAAGAUGGCGGCCAUGGAAGCUGCACUGAAGUUGAUGGAUUUUAAAGGGAGAGAAAUAUGCACUGACGCCAUCGGUUUACAUUUCUCGCUGAGAUCGUGCGGGAGAGGAAGAGAGCGCGGCGUCAUGGAAUUAAUAGCGAAGAUGGAGAGCCAGGCAGUGUAGAGGUGGAUGGAGAAGACAAACAGCCUUGGGCCAGUACAUCACGUGAUCAUCAAUGAAGAUGGAGGAUGGAUGCAUAUGUGGGCUGAAGUAAUGGGAUGGCCUGCUAUUGACUUCUUUUGCUAAAUGCCUUUAUUGUGUGUUUCAUCGACUGAAACAGAAAAAAGUGAGCAAGAAAAAUGGGAGAUUAUUGCUGACGUGGCAAAUGUGACGAAAUGACGUGGACCUGAAACUGAAAAAAUGAUGUGGCAUGCUUGCAUGUUGAGGAAAAUCAACUUAGUGGGUUGCUCCUAUUUAGAUACUAGAUAAUUCCCCGCGCGGUGCUGCGGGCAUGUAUGUGUAUCUUUUCU